UGCGUAGGCGGAUUAAUAAGUCAGUGGUGAAAUCUUUCGGCUCAACCGAGAAACUGCCAUUGAUACUGUUGAUCUUGAGUUCGGUUGAGGUAGGCGGAAUGUGUAAUGUAGCGGUGAAAUGCUUAGAUAUUACACAGAACACCAAUUGCGUAGGCAGCUUACUAGACCGACACUGACGCUGAGGCACGAAAGCGUGGGGAGCAAACAGGAUUAGAUACCCUGGUAGUCC
RNAcentral lists this ribosomal RNA (229 nucleotides) under uncultured bacterium. RNAcentral's name for it is "partial 16S ribosomal RNA". It matches the Rfam family "Bacterial small subunit ribosomal RNA", at positions 568 to 796 of the family's 1533-position model. The record is from RNAcentral.